AGUGAACGCUGGCGGUAGGCCUAACACAUGCAAGUCGAACGGCAGCACAGUAAGAGCUUGCUCUUACGGGUGGCGAGUGGCGGACGGGUGAGGAAUACAUCGGAAUCUACUUUUUCGUGGGGGAUAACGUAGGGAAACUUACGCUAAUACCGCAUACGACCUACGGGUGAAAGCAGGGGAUCUUCGGACCUUGCGCGAUUGAAUGAGCCGAUGUCGGAUUAGCUCGUUGGCGGGGUAAAGGCCCACCAAGGCGACGAUCCGUAGCUGGUCUCAGAGGAUGAUCAGCCACACUGGAACUGUGACACGGUCCAUACUCCUACGGGAGGCAGCAGUGGGGAAUAUUGGACAAUGGGCGCAAGCCUGAUCCAGCCAUACCGCGUGGGUGAAGAAGGCCUUCGGGUUGUAAAGCCCUUUUGUUGGGAAAGAAAAGCAGCAGGUUAAUACCCCGCUGUUCUGACGGUACCCAAAGAAUAAGCACCGGCUAACUUCGUG
This 492-nucleotide ribosomal RNA is filed under the name uncultured bacterium. RNAcentral describes it as "partial 16S ribosomal RNA". It matches the Rfam family "Bacterial small subunit ribosomal RNA", at positions 29 to 507 of the family's 1533-position model. The record is from RNAcentral.